AUUGAACGCUGGCGGCAGGCCUAACACAUGCAAGUCGAGCGGAUGAAGGGAGCUUGCUCCUGGAUUCAGCGGCGGACGGGUGAGUAAUGCCUAGGAAUCUGCCUGGUAGUGGGGGAUAACGUCCGGAAACGGGCGCUAAUACCGCAUACGUCCUGAGGGAGAAAGUGGGGGAUCUUCGGACCUCACGCUAUCAGAUGAGCCUAGGUCGGAUUAGCUAGUUGGUGGGGUAAAGGCCUACCAAGGCGACGAUCCGUAACUGGUCUGAGAGGAUGAUCAGUCACACUGGAACUGAGACACGGUCCAGACUCCUACGGGAGGCAGCAGUGGGGAAUAUUGGACAAUGGGCGAAAGCCUGAUCCAGCCAUGCCGCGUGUGUGAAGAAGGUCUUCGGAUUGUAAAGCACUUUAAGUUGGGAGGAAGGGCAGUAAGUUAAUACCUUGCUGGUUUGACGUUACCGACAGAAUAAGCACCGGCUAACUUCGUG
This 484-nucleotide ribosomal RNA is filed under the name uncultured bacterium. RNAcentral's name for it is "partial 16S ribosomal RNA". It matches the Rfam family "Bacterial small subunit ribosomal RNA", at positions 30 to 507 of the family's 1533-position model. The record is from RNAcentral.